UCAGCAUUGGGAUCGAGCGGAUCUUCUCCAUCCUGGAGCAGAGGCUGAAGGCUUCUGGGGAGAAACUUCGCACAACUGAAACCCAAGUGCUGGUGGCUACACCCCAGAAACACUUGCUUGCUGCCAGACUGAAGCUCAUCUCGGAGCUGUGGGACGCAGGGAUCAAGGCAGAGAUGCUGUACAAGAAGGAUCCUAAACUGCUGAAGCAGCUGCAGUAUUGUGAGGACACGGGGAUCCCCCUUGCUGCCAUUGUAGGAGAGCAGGAGCUGGCAGACGGAGUUGUCAAGCUGAGAGAUGUCUCAACACGAGAGGAGGUUGAUAUCCCAAGGGAGAAGCUUGUUGAUGAGAUCAGGAGAAGGCUGGAGCCCUGAGGACUUCUCUGGCCAGAGCUGCUUGGCUGAACUGCUGUACAACUGGAACCCUGCAGUGCCCUUAACCAUUCACUGCCGGCUGAGGCCUGGUUACCAUCCACCAGCCUAAGGCUCCUUGCCUGGGCUAAGGCAGCAAGAAGAGAGGAGCCAGGGGGUUUUAAAAGCUAUGGGACAGCGCAGUCACCAGCUUGAAGUUCUGGUUAAGUGCUCUGAAGGACGGGUUGAGCUUGUGGGUUCCUAAUAGUGCAGUCCCUGCACCUGUA
Molecule: long non-coding RNA, 634 nt
Organism: Neopelma chrysocephalum (saffron-crested tyrant-manakin)
Lineage: Eukaryota; Metazoa; Chordata; Aves; Passeriformes; Pipridae
Exons: 4
Source: RefSeq, a predicted model, not a curated record